GAUGAACGCUGGCGGCGUGCCUAAUACAUGCAAGUCGAGCGAACAGACGAGGAGCUUGCUCCUCUGACGUUAGCGGCGGACGGGUGAGUAACACGUGGAUAACCUACCUAUAAGACUGGGAUAACUUCGGGAAACCGGAGCUAAUACCGGAUAAUAUAUUGAACCGCAUGGUUCAAUAGUGAAAGACGGUUUUGCUGUCACUUAUAGAUGGAUCCGCGCCGCAUUAGCUAGUUGGUAAGGUAACGGCUUACCAAGGCGACGAUGCGUAGCCGACCUGAGAGGGUGAUCGGCCACACUGGAACUGAGACACGGUCCAGACUCCUACGGGAGGCAGCAGUAGGGAAUCUUCCGCAAUGGGCGAAAGCUUGACGGAGCAACGCCGCGUGAGUGAUGAAGGUCUUCGGAUCGUAAAACUCUGUUAUUAGGGAAGAACAAAUGUGUAAGUAACUAUGCACGUCUUGACGGUACCUAAUCAGAAGGCCACGGCUAACUACGUG
Molecule: ribosomal RNA, 497 nt
Filed under: uncultured bacterium
Lineage: Bacteria
Description: partial 16S ribosomal RNA
Rfam family: Bacterial small subunit ribosomal RNA
Source: RNAcentral